GGGAUCUACCGUCUACCAUCAUAGGGCAGAGCAGCCUCCACUAUGGUACGAGAUGUGAUCGUAUGUUGCUCCACCUCACAGGACAAAAGACUCCUGAUGACAGUACUCCGAGGCAAGAAGCCACUGACUUUUGAAGGAGCAAGUCUCUCUAUCUACCAGGACCUCACCAGAACCACGCUACAAUGGUGAAGAUCCCUGAAUCCCGUCACCAGGCACAUCCUCUGACUGUUUGACUCCGCAACCAGAAACCUGACUACAUUGAGAGCCAAUAUACACAUUUGCAGCCCGAACAUUCAUAUAUUGUUUAGAUAACGUUUUAUUUAAAACCAGUUUAAUUGUUUCCCUACGUUAGAGAGCCUACUUGCCCGCAACUGUAUGCUCAUGCACCCAAAAUCUUGGGGCUUAUGGUAAGGAUUGUUAUACCACUCCACUGACAGCCCUCACCAUCCCCUAAUGAUGCCACCUUGGUUUGGGGCACAUUUGGAAGAAGGCCACAUUAUAAAAACCCACUCAGGUUACAUUUAUUAUCUCCUGCUCCACACGGCCAUUCUCCCUAAGCACUUCACGCACUCCAGUUAACGUACCAAUGUUGGAUUGUAACACGUGAUAAAUGCCUAGCUACUGACAUGUAAAACACCUUCUUAAGCGUAUGUGACUACCUUUUACUUUACUCGAUUUCUGUAACAUAUCCUGCAUUGAUGGGAUAAAAACAAAAAUUUCAAUAAAAAGAGAUAAGCAAAAACUUCCAAAGCAAGUUAACAUCUGAUUGAAAAUGGAAUGUACAUGAUGGCUGUGUGAGUCACAGGCAAGGGUGGUGUGACUAGGGCUGCAUAAGCAGAAACAAAAGUUAUUUAACUUCUAAAUGGAAAAUUAUCUGAAAUCGGUCCAUUGAUACGUUGGUGGUUUGUGCCCAGAAUUCCAAUUGCUAAAUUUAGGCUACAAAUAGCAGAGUAUAAGAAUGUUUCCUGAUCAGAUGUUUAUUUGUUACAAUUUGGAGUUUAGUGAAUAACCCUCUUGGAGUUUAUUCCCAAAAGAGAAAACUGUAGUGAAUUGAAAACCAAAUGACAAUUUUAUUUGGCAAAAAAAUAACAAAUUUGGAAAUCUCACAGCUGACCACAGUUUGCUGUUUAGUAAAUAAGCCGCCCUUGGAUGUAUUUCUCAGGAAGGUGGUAACUAGGGGCUGGCUCUUUAGAAAUGCCAGUAAUAAAACAUAAAAUAAACUACAACUCCCACAAUUCCAAACCAAGACCAUCACCUGAUCUAGAGUAAGUGCCAUGGAAACAAUUACUCUAAACAUGCCAGUUUUCUGUAUGUUUUAGAAAUUAGCUCAGGACAGUGAGUCCCAUGAGCAUUCUGAGAGUUGCAGUCCACAGCCAUUGUUAUAGGAGUUGUAGUCCAUAGCAGCUGGCUAAGUGUGAGCUGCUACCCAGGCUCUCUCUGUCAUGGCUGCCCAUCACUGGGCUGUAUAUACAGCUACUCACCAGGUCUCAGUGAGCUGCUCUAGGCAUCACUCUCUGCCUGUACAUCCAGAGGCUGCUACCAGGACAAAUCCCCUGAAAGGCUGUCAGGCAACAUUGUCUCAGUCUGCAUCCCUUGCUGUGCCUGGCUCCUCCCAUUGCCA
This 1621-nucleotide long non-coding RNA is filed under the name Pelobates cultripes (western spadefoot toad). The record is from RNAcentral. Lineage: Eukaryota; Metazoa; Chordata; Amphibia; Anura; Pelobatidae.